This 60-nucleotide transfer RNA is filed under the name Dipodomys ordii (Ord's kangaroo rat). It matches the Rfam family "tRNA", at positions 7 to 64 of the family's 71-position model. From Rfam's summary of the family: Transfer RNA (tRNA) molecules are approximately 80 nucleotides in length. Lineage: Eukaryota; Metazoa; Chordata; Mammalia; Rodentia; Heteromyidae. The record is from Rfam by way of RNAcentral.
AUGGCUCAGUAGUAAGGGCACCUGCCUAACAAGUAUGAGGCCCUGGGUUCAAAUCCCAGU